UACGGAGGGUGCAAGCGUUAAUCGGAAUUACUGGGCGUAAAGCGCGCGUAGGCGGCUUGUUAAGUCGGAUGUGAAAGCCCUGGGCUCAACCUAGGAAUUGCAUUCGAUACUGGCGAGCUAGAGUAUGAUAGAGGGUGGUGGAAUUCCUAGUGUAGCGGUGAAAUGCGUAGAUAUUAGGAGGAACAUCGGUGGCGAAGGCGGCCACCUGGGUCAAUACUGACGCUGAAGUGCGAAAGCGUGGGGAGCAAACAGGAUUAGAUACCCUAGUAGU
RNAcentral lists this ribosomal RNA (271 nucleotides) under uncultured bacterium. RNAcentral's name for it is "partial 16S ribosomal RNA". It matches the Rfam family "Bacterial small subunit ribosomal RNA", at positions 524 to 794 of the family's 1533-position model. The record is from RNAcentral.